GGGGAUGUGACUCAGUGGUAGAGUGCGUGCCUGGCAGGCAUGAGGCCCUGAGUUCAAUCCUA
RNAcentral lists this transfer RNA (62 nucleotides) under Ictidomys tridecemlineatus (thirteen-lined ground squirrel). RNAcentral's name for it is "Spermophilus tridecemlineatus (thirteen-lined ground squirrel) tRNA". It matches the Rfam family "tRNA", at positions 1 to 61 of the family's 71-position model. Rfam says of the family: Transfer RNA (tRNA) molecules are approximately 80 nucleotides in length. Their secondary structure includes four short double-helical elements and three loops (D, anti-codon, and T loops). The record is from Rfam by way of RNAcentral. Lineage: Eukaryota; Metazoa; Chordata; Mammalia; Rodentia; Sciuridae.